GGUGCUAUCGCUCAGUUGUAGAGCACUUGCCUUGCAUGUGUGAGGCACUGGAUUCAAUUCUUAGCACCA
RNAcentral lists this transfer RNA (69 nucleotides) under Ictidomys tridecemlineatus (thirteen-lined ground squirrel). RNAcentral's name for it is "Spermophilus tridecemlineatus (thirteen-lined ground squirrel) tRNA". It matches the Rfam family "tRNA". From Rfam's summary of the family: Transfer RNA (tRNA) molecules are approximately 80 nucleotides in length. Their secondary structure includes four short double-helical elements and three loops (D, anti-codon, and T loops). The record is from Rfam by way of RNAcentral. Lineage: Eukaryota; Metazoa; Chordata; Mammalia; Rodentia; Sciuridae.